CCUUCGAUAGCUCAGUUGGUAGAGCGGUGGACUGUAGUUGGUGUUUAAUAAAAUCAGAAAUCCAUAGGUCGCUGGUUCAAAUCCGGCUCGAAGGA
Transfer RNA from Trichomalopsis sarcophagae, 95 nucleotides. It matches the Rfam family "tRNA". From Rfam's summary of the family: Transfer RNA (tRNA) molecules are approximately 80 nucleotides in length. Their secondary structure includes four short double-helical elements and three loops (D, anti-codon, and T loops). Further hydrogen bonds mediate the characteristic L-shaped molecular structure. tRNAs have two regions of fundamental functional importance: the anti-codon, which is responsible for specific mRNA codon recognition, and the 3' end, to which the tRNAs corresponding amino acid is attached (by aminoacyl-tRNA synthetases). tRNAs cope with the degeneracy of the genetic code in two manners: having more than one tRNA (with a specific anti-codon) for a particular amino acid; and 'wobble' base-pairing, i.e. permitting non-standard base-pairing at the 3rd anti-codon position. NCBI's taxonomy places the organism in Eukaryota, Metazoa, Arthropoda, Insecta, Hymenoptera, Pteromalidae. The record is from Rfam.